GUCACUGUCAGGCCUCUGAGCCCAAGCUAAGCCAUCAGAUCCCCUGUGACCUGCACAUGUACAUCCAGACGGCUUGAAGUAACUGAAGAAUCACAAAAGAAGUGAAAUUUAAAUGGCCUGUUCCUGCCUUAACUGAUGACAUUCCACCAUAAAAGAAGUGAAAAUGGCUGGUCCCUGCCUUAACUGAUGACAUUACCUUGUGAAAUUCCUUCUCCUGGCUCAUCCUGGCUCAAAAAGCUCCCCCACUGAGCACCUUGUGACCCCCACUCCUGCCUGCCAGAGAACAACCCUGCUUUGACUGUAAUUUUCCUUUACUUACCCAAAUCUUAUAAAACGGCCCCACCCCUAUCUCCCUUUCCUGACUCUCUUUUCGGACUCAGCCUGCCUGCACCCAGGUGAUUAAAAGCUUUAUUGCUCACACAAAGCCUGUUUGGUGGUCUCUUCACACGGACGCGAGUGAAGUUUGGUGCCAUGACUCGGAUCAGGGGACCUCCCUUGGGGGAUCAAUCCCCUGUCCUCCUGCUUUUUGCUCCAUGAGAAAGAUCCACCUACCACCUCAGGUCCUCAGACCGACCAGCCCAAGGAACAUCUCACCAAUUUCAAAUCGGUGCCGCUUGACCCGCAAUGCCGCUUGACAAACUCGACAGUGGUUCCAAAUAGCCAGAAAAUGGCACUUUCAAUUUUUCCAUCCUACAAGAUCUAAAUAAUUCUUGUCCUAAAAUAGGCAAACAGUCUGAGGUGCCUGACGCCCAGACAUUCUUUUACACAUUGUCCCCUCCCUAGUCUCAGUUCCCAAUGGGACUCGUCCCAAAUCCUCCUCCUUUCCCUCUCACCUGUCCCCUCAGUCCCAACCCCAGGCGUCGCUGAGUCUUUCUAAUCUUCCUUCUCUACAGACCCGUUUGACCUCUCCCCUCCUCCCCAGGCUGCUCCUCGCCAGGCCCAGCUAGGUCCCAAUUCUUCCUCAGCCUCUGCUCCUCCACCCUAUAAUCUUUUUAUCAACUCCCCUCCUCACACCCGGUCUGGCUUACAGUUUCGUUCCUUGACUGGCCCUCCCCAACCUGCCCAGCAAUUUCCUCUUAAAAACGUGGCUGGAGCUAAAGGCAUAGUCAAGGUUAAUGCUUCUUUUUAUUUAUCCGACCUGUCCCAAUCAGUUAGCAUUUAGGCUGUUUUUCAUCAAAUAUGAAAAACUCAGCCCAGUUCACGGCUCGUUUGGCAGCAACCCUGAGACGCUUUACAGCCCCAGACCCUAAAAGGUCAAAAGGCCGUCUUAUUCUCAAUAUACAUUUUAUUUCCCAAUCCGCUCCCGACUUUAAAUAAAGCUCCAAAAAUUAAAUUCCGGCUCUCAAACCCCACAACAGGACUUAAUUAACCUCGCUUUCAAGGUGUACAAUAACAGAAAAAAGUUGCAAUUCCUUGCCUCCACUGUGAGACAAACCCCAGCCACAUCUCCAGCACACAAGAACUUUCAAACGCCUAAACCACAGUGGCCAGGCAUUCCUCCAGGCCCGCCUCACCCAGGAGCUUGCUACAAGUGCCAGAAAUCUGGCCACCAGGCCAAGGAAUGCCUGCAGCCCGGGAUUCCACCUAAGCCGCAUCCCAUCUGUGAGGGACCCCACUGAAAAUUGGACUGUUCAACUCACCUGGCAGCCACUCCCAGAGCCCCUGGAACUCUGGCCCAAGGCUCUCUGACUCCUUCUCAGAUCUUCUCGGCUUAGCGGCUGAAGACUGACACUGCCUGAUGGCCUCGGAAGCCCCCUAAACCAUCACAGAUGCCGAGCUUUGGGUAACUCUCACAAGGGAAGAGAGAAAACUGCAACCCAAGAAGCUUCUACUUCUUGUCUUCUGGAACUCUAUCUGGGGUCUCUGAGUUGCUGAAAAGAAGCCUGACUACCCACCUACACAUGCUAGAGAACAUCUAGACACUCCAUUCCCACCAAUGUGUUAAACAUUGAGUGAGCUGUCGUAGACCAUACUUACUCGUUCACCAGAUGAAUUCCACCUAGUGACUUCAGCUUAUAUCAUGUGAAGAAGAAAAAUUGCCAAC
Molecule: long non-coding RNA, 2044 nt
Organism: Gorilla gorilla gorilla (western lowland gorilla)
Lineage: Eukaryota; Metazoa; Chordata; Mammalia; Primates; Hominidae
Exons: 3
Source: RefSeq, a predicted model, not a curated record